AGGAAAUAGAUACCCAGGUAGUCCACGCCCUAAACGAUGUCGACUAGGUGUUCGGUGAGGAGACUCAUUGAGUACCGCAGCUAACGCGUGAAGUCGACCGCCUGGGGAGUACGGUCGCAAGAUUAAAACUCAAAGGAAUUGACGGGGACCCGCACAAGCGGUGGAUGAUGUGGAUUAAUUCGAUGCAACGCGAAAACCUUACCUACCCUUGACAUGUACGGAACCCUGCUGAGAGGUGGGGGUGCUCGAAAGAGAGCCGUAACACAGGUGCUGCAUGGCUGUCGUCAGCUCGUGUCGUGAGAUGUUGGGUUAAGUCCCGCAACGAGCGCAACCCUUGUCAUUAGUUGCUACGCAAGAGCACUCUAAUGAGACUGCCGGUGACAAACCGGAGGAAGGUGGGGAUGACGUCAAGUCCUCAUGGCCCUUAUGGGUAGGGCUUCACACGUCAUACAAUGGUCGGUACAGAGGGUUGCCAAGCCGCGAGGUGGAGCCAAUCCCAGAAAGCCGAUCGUAGUCCGGAUCGCAGUCU
RNAcentral lists this ribosomal RNA (529 nucleotides) under uncultured bacterium. RNAcentral describes it as "bacterial SSU rRNA". It matches the Rfam family "Bacterial small subunit ribosomal RNA", at positions 774 to 1306 of the family's 1533-position model. The record is from RNAcentral.